UACGAAGGGUGCAAGCGUUACUCGGAAUUACUGGGCGUAAAGCGUGCGUAGGUGGUUUGUUAAGUCUGAUGUGAAAGCCCUGGGCUCAACCUGGGAAUUGCAUUGGAUACUGGCAGGCUAGAGUGCGGUAGAGGAUGGCGGAAUUCCCGGUGUAGCAGUGAAAUGCGUAGAGAUCGGGAGGAACAUCUGUGGCGAAGGCGGCUUUCUGGGCCCUACCUGACGCUGAGACGCGAAAGCGUGGGGAGCGAACAGG
Molecule: ribosomal RNA, 253 nt
Filed under: uncultured bacterium
Lineage: Bacteria
Description: partial 16S ribosomal RNA
Rfam family: Bacterial small subunit ribosomal RNA
Source: RNAcentral